AGCCUAGCAGCUAGCUCGAGUUUUGCAACAUACAACAACCCCCUAUCAAUAAACCUUGACCACCCACAAAACCCUCAAACAAAACAUUUUGCCUCCCCAGUAUGGGCGACAGAAAAGGACGAAAUGAAGCAAUAGCAUUAGUACCGCAAGGGAAUGCUGAAAGAAAGAUGAAACAGAUUAGUAAAGCCUAAGAAAGCAGAGAUUGGUUCUCGUACCUUUUGCAUCAUGAUUUAGCAAGAAAGAGUCAGGCAGAAAGAAUUGUAGUCUGACACCCCGAAACCAAGUGAGCUACUCCAAGACAGCCUUAUAGGGCGAACCCGUCUCUGUGGCAAAAGAGUGGGAAGAUCUUUGAGUAGGGGUGACAGACCUACCGAGCUUGGUUAUAGCUGGUUGCUUAGGAAAUGAAUAGCAGUUCAGCCUUUUGUUCUCUUCCCCCACCAACUAGUUUCGCCACCCAAGCGAUCGAGAGAACUAAAAGAGUUAGUCAAAGGGGGUACAGCCCCUUUGAAAAUAGACACAACUUUCCCAGAAGGGUCAAGAUCAAACUAUAUUAGGAAUAAUGUUCUAGUUGGCCUAAAAGCAGCCACCCAAACAGAAAGCGUUAAAGCUCAUACAUAACUAACAUCCUACUAUCCUGACCAUACAAUCUUACCCCUCUAAACAUACUAAGCCUUCCCAUACCCUUAUGGGAGAGACGAUGCUAAUAUGAGUAAUAAGAGGGGACAGCCCCUCUCCUUGCACAAGUGUACAUCGGAACGAACCAACACCGACUAUUAACGGCCCCAUCAAAGGAGGGCACUGGAACACAUGACCUCCCCACUAGAAAAACAUCCAUGACAAACCGUUAACCUUACACCAGAGUGCCAACCAGGAAAGACUAACAGAAAAAGAAGGAACUCGGCA
This 903-nucleotide ribosomal RNA is filed under the name Fowleria variegata (variegated cardinalfish). Its description in RNAcentral is "partial 16S rRNA". The stretch from base 194 to 903 matches the Rfam family "Bacterial large subunit ribosomal RNA", at positions 568 to 1719 of the family's 2925-position model. Lineage: Eukaryota; Metazoa; Chordata; Actinopteri; Kurtiformes; Apogonidae. The record is from RNAcentral.